Molecule: unclassified non-coding RNA, 229 nt
Filed under: plant metagenome
Description: partial contains small subunit ribosomal RNA, internal transcribed spacer 1, and 5.8S ribosomal RNA
Source: RNAcentral
UCUCCGUAGGUGAACCUGCGGAGGGAUCACUACAGAGUUCUCGCCCUCGCGGGUAGAUCUCCCACCCACUGUUAUCGUUACUGUGUUGCUUUGGCGGGCCGCCGGGCCCCGCUCGGCCGCCGGCUCCGGCUGGCGCGCGCCCGCCAGAGGCCCAGCAAACUCUGAAUGUUAGUGUCGUCUGAGUACUAUAUAAUAGUUAAAACUUUCAACAACGGAUCUCUUGGUUCUG